GAUGAACGCUGGCGGCGUGCCUAAUACAUGCAAGUCGAACGGUAGAAAUCUAGCUUUUUCGACUUUAGGAGUGGCGAACGGGUGAGUAAUACAUAAGCAACCUACCCACGAAGGCUGGGGUAAUAUCUGGAAACGGGGACGAAUACAGGGCAGGUAAUCGGAAGGCAUCUGCUGAUUACUAAAGGUCAAAAACACUGGUGGAUGGGCUAAUGGCGCAUUGGUUAGUGGGUGAGGUAACGGCCCACCAAGACGAUGAUGCGUAGCCGGCCUGAGGGGGUGAACCGCCAGAUUGGAACCAAGGCCCGGCCCACACUGCUACGGGAGGGAGCAGUAGGGAAGUCACGGGGAGGGAGGAAACCCUGACCGAGCAACGCCGCUUGAGAGAGGCCGGCCUUCGGGAUGUACAUCUCUGUUGUAAGAGGAGAGCGGUGGAUAGACAAUAGCUAAAUGACGGUACCUGAACAGGAAGCCACGGCUAACUACGUG
Molecule: ribosomal RNA, 486 nt
Filed under: uncultured bacterium
Lineage: Bacteria
Description: partial 16S ribosomal RNA
Rfam family: Bacterial small subunit ribosomal RNA
Source: RNAcentral